GUUUCGUUGGUGUAGUGGUAGCAUGCCCUCUUUGGGUGACCUGAAAGGUUCCAUAUUGGGGGUGGUCCUCGGUUCAACCCCGAGACGAGACC
Cryptococcus amylolentus CBS 6039 is the source of this 92-nucleotide non-coding RNA. The record is from the annotation of a RefSeq genome assembly. Lineage: Eukaryota; Fungi; Basidiomycota; Tremellomycetes; Tremellales; Cryptococcaceae.